AACGAACGCUGGCGGCAUGCCUAACACAUGCAAGUCGAACGAGACCUUCGGGUCUAGUGGCGCACGGGUGCGUAACGCGUGGGAACCUGCCUUUAGGUUCGGAAUAACAGUGAGAAAUUACUGCUAAUACCGGAUGAUGUCUUCGGACCAAAGAUUUAUCGCCUUUAGAUGGGCCCGCGUUGGAUUAGCUAGUUGGUGGGGUAAAGGCCUACCAAGGCGACGAUCCAUAGCUGGUCUGAGAGGAUGAUCAGCCACACUGGGACUGAGACACGGCCCAGACUCCUACGGGAGGCAGCAGUGGGGAAUAUUGGACAAUGGGCGAAAGGCCUGAUCCAGCAAUGCCGCGUGAGUGAUGAAGGCCUUAGGGUUGUAAAGCUCUUUACCCGAGAUGAUAAUGACAGUAUCGGGAGAAUAAGCUCCGGCUAACUCCGUG
RNAcentral lists this ribosomal RNA (433 nucleotides) under uncultured bacterium. Its description in RNAcentral is "bacterial SSU rRNA". It matches the Rfam family "Bacterial small subunit ribosomal RNA", at positions 29 to 507 of the family's 1533-position model. The record is from RNAcentral.